UGCUCAGAUUGAACGCUGGCGGCAGGCUUAACACAUGCAAGUCGAGCGGGGGAAGGUAGUCUUGCUACCGGACCUAGCGGCGGACGGGUGAGUAAUGCUUAGGAAUCUGCCUAUUAGUGGGGGACAACAUCUCGAAAGGGAUGCUAAUACCGCAUACGUCCUACGGGAGAAAGCAGGGGAUCUUCGGACCUUGCGCUAAUAGAUGAGCCUAAGUCGGAUUAGCUAGUUGGUGGGGUAAAGGCCUACCAAGGCGACGAUCUGUAGCGGGUCUGAGAGGAUGAUCCGCCACACUGGGACUGAGACACGGCCCAGACUCCUACGGGAGGCAGCAGUGGGGAAUAUUGGACAAUGGGGGGAACCCUGAUCCAGCCAUGCCGCGUGUGUGAAGAAGGCCUUAUGGUUGUAAAGCACUUUAAGCGAGGAGGAGGCUACUUUAKUUAAUACCUAGAGAUAGUGGACGUUACUCGCAGAAUAAGCACCGGCUAACUCUGUGCCAGCAGCCGCGGUAAUACAGAGGGUGCGAGCGUUAAUCGGAUUUACUGGGCGUAAAGCGUGCGUAGGCGGCUUAUUAAGUCGGAUGUGAAAUCCCCGAGCUUAACUUGGGAAUUGCAUUCGAUACUGGUGAGCUAGAGUAUGGGAGAGGAUGGUAGAAUUCCAGGUGUAGCGGUGAAAUGCGUAGAGAUCUGGAGGAAUACCGAUGGCGAAGGCAGCCAUCUGGCCUAAUACUGACGCUGAGGUACGAAAGCAUGGGGAGCAAACAGGAUUAGAUACCCUGGUAGUCCAUGCCGUAAACG
This 794-nucleotide ribosomal RNA is filed under the name Acinetobacter baumannii. RNAcentral describes it as "bacterial SSU rRNA". It matches the Rfam family "Bacterial small subunit ribosomal RNA", at positions 21 to 808 of the family's 1533-position model. The record is from RNAcentral. Lineage: Bacteria; Pseudomonadati; Pseudomonadota; Gammaproteobacteria; Moraxellales; Moraxellaceae.